This 1718-nucleotide long non-coding RNA is filed under the name Homo sapiens (human). RNAcentral's name for it is "HSALNT0033955". Lineage: Eukaryota; Metazoa; Chordata; Mammalia; Primates; Hominidae. The record is from RNAcentral.
CCACUAGGCAACAGGCUUAUCAUCCCAAGGCUAGAAUGAGGCAAAUAUUCCCUCCUAGAACACACUUGUGCUCCCAAGUGCCUCAGGGGUUGAGCUGUGCCGCAGCUUUGGGGCAGUCUACAAGGGGCCAGUCAUACUUUUGUAGCCAAAGUGAUACUUGGUAGUACUGGGAUUCAGUCUGGACUUUGAGACAGGGUCAAUCUUUGACCAGGAUUAAGGAUCAUUCUGGGAUUAGACUCAGAGGUCUGUUUUAGGUCAGGGUUACAGGCUAGACUGAGGUUUGGAGCAGGGCUCUGUCUGGGAUCAGAGUCAGAAGUCUAUCUGAGGUUAAUGAAAGAAAGUCCUCUGAUGGAAUCUGACUGGCAAAGACAGUUGCCGAGCUUUCUCUGUCCUAGCCACCCUCUUCACAAGCCUGUCCAUGGCCUCAGCACCCCCACUCUCCACAGCACCUCCAGGAAGUCUUAGAGUGGAGUACCAUGCUCUCCUUUUCAUCUUUCCGAAGUACUUUUUGAGAUUUGAGCAGAGAGGCGGUUCUAAUUAGGAAAUCCAGCAACUAUUGCUGUGGGGCUGUGACAUCCCUGCAGACUUUCCCCAGGAUCCCACUUGGCACAGGGUGUAAGGACUCAGAAUUUCUCCUCCACAACCCUCCCAACUCCUCCUCUAUACCUGAACAGGAAAAGAGGCUGAGCAGUGGAGGACAAAAGGGCACAAAGCCACCCCCACCCAGGAGUGAGGGGAUGGGAGGAAGGCAAUUGGCGUGUUGGGGGACUUCUGGGGCUGUGAUCCCCACACGGCAGACACCUCCUGUGGUCUCUUGGGUUGGUGGCUGGAAGGUGGGUGUUUUGUGACUGUGACAAUGAUCCUUUGUGUGUGUGUGUGUGCUCAGUAUCAGCCUGUACAUCUAUCUGCAUCUCUAUAAAGCUGUGUGCAUGUCUGUCCUUUAGGAGAUGGAGAUUUCCACAGGUGAGUUUUCCUGGGUUACCUUGCCCAUUUCACCACCUUGUGGCCAGUGCUGUGUCUGGGGGUCAGGCUAGAUUCUUAGAGCUCUUCAAGCCAGCAAGACCUUAACAAUCUCCCCCAACCCCAUUUUAUGUUAGCCUCAUCCUCAGAUAGGGUGUGGGGUGGCUCUGGCACUUUGACGUGCCCUGUUCAGAUGUGACUGUUUUGUGAAACCACCCUGCUUCGAGGGUGCUUCCUAGCCCCCUGUUUCAGGACCACAGUGAUCCUGACAGGGCCUUCGUAAGUGUCCGGCCCCAAGCAUCCUGGGGUGGACGUCUGAGGUCACUGACACAGGAGCGGGGUGCUUUGGGAGCCUACAACCCGGCCCUUUGGAGCUGAUCUCCCACUAUGAAGGGCGAGUGCGGAAAGGGAGCAGAGGGAAUUGUUUCCCCGAAUCUGUAGUACUAUAACUGCCCACCAGGUGGGGUUCCAGGGCAGAGAGUGAAGCCGAGGUGACCCAGCGCUAGGAGCUAGACCAGCGUUUAGAUCUCCUGCCACACCAGCCUCGGAAGCGCUCACACAGGGAGGGACAACACAUCUGUGCGCACCUUAGACGCUCACACACAUUCUCGUCUCGUGAACUCUAAAGCAGAACUCGUACUGGGUGCAGGCAAGGUGUUAAAAGCGGAGUCUAGUAUCGUUGACACACACACUACUCUAAACUAAAGAUGGGAUAUCGACUCUGGCUCCGGGAGUGUGAGAGUGAACGCCAGAGCCAA